UGCCAAUGAUGACAAGUUUAUUCCUGAUGCUAAUAACUGAGGGUGAAAGCUGAUUUAAUGAGCCUGAUGC
Small nucleolar RNA from Dunckerocampus dactyliophorus (ringed pipefish), 70 nucleotides. The record is from RefSeq and is a predicted model, not a curated record. NCBI's taxonomy places the organism in Eukaryota, Metazoa, Chordata, Actinopteri, Syngnathiformes, Syngnathidae.